UACGUAGGGUGCAAGCGUUGUCCGGAAUUAUUGGGCGUAAAGAGCUCGUAGGCGGUCUGUUGCGUCGGCUGUGAAAACCCGGGGCUCAACUCCGGGCCUGCAGUCGAUACGGGCUGGCUUGAGUGCGGUAGGGGAGACUGGAAUUCCUGGUGUAGCGGUGAAAUGCGUAGAUAUCUGGAGGAACACCGGUGGCGAAGGCGGCAUCCUGGACCGAGAUUGACGCUGAUGCGCGAAAGCCAGGGGAGCAAACGGG
This 253-nucleotide ribosomal RNA is filed under the name uncultured bacterium. Its description in RNAcentral is "partial 16S ribosomal RNA". It matches the Rfam family "Bacterial small subunit ribosomal RNA", at positions 524 to 776 of the family's 1533-position model. The record is from RNAcentral.